GCGCUGGUAGCUCAGCUGGAUAGAGCAUCUGGCUACGAACCAGAAGGUCGGGGGUUCGACUCCCUCCCAGCGCACCA
RNAcentral lists this transfer RNA (77 nucleotides) under bacterium. RNAcentral describes it as "tRNA-Arg". It matches the Rfam family "tRNA". Rfam says of the family: Transfer RNA (tRNA) molecules are approximately 80 nucleotides in length. RNAcentral also lists the same sequence under 3 other names. The record is from RNAcentral.